Molecule: non-coding RNA, 54 nt
Organism: Caenorhabditis elegans
Lineage: Eukaryota; Metazoa; Nematoda; Chromadorea; Rhabditida; Rhabditidae
Source: Ensembl
GCAUUUGAAGUUGAUGGCCUAACUUUUGCAAACUUGGAUUUCUAGGCCACCAAA